ACGAGGCAGAGAAGAGUCUCUCCAGAUCAGAACACCAGAUGGACAACGCUAGCCCUUCCGCCCUCCCAGAGUCCCCGUGUCGUACCUCUCCCAGUAGCACCUUACUGCUGGGUCUGAAGAGGUUGUCUGUGCGGCUGGUGGACUGCAGGAAAACAACAGGGCUGAGUGGAACUGUGAGAGGAGGAGAAGAGAUAGCAUGAGAUUUUAGAGGGAAAGUGGGGAAAUGUCAUUUCCACCACAGUCAUUUCCACCACGGUGUUCAUUGUGGUGGUAAAGACAGGUUGUGGUGGAAAUGACAUUGUUCGUGCUAAACAGCAAAUUAUUUGGGCUAUAAUACUGAUACUAAAUUCAAAAACAGUUUUAACAAUAUUACAAUAUUGUUGGUAAAUAAGAGAACAAUAGAUAAGUAGGUUUGACAUGAUGUCUUGGCUCUUUCUUUAAGAUGGCAAGCAAUACCACAGCACAGAGGUCAAGAUCAUACAGAGAAAGAAUAAAAUCAGAUCCACUUAAAUAUGCAGAGUCCCUCAAGAAGGACAGAGAAAGAUACCUGAAGAAAAAGCAACAAGGUGUUGUUAAAUCUGUGACAGAAAUGCCGAAAAGAGAACAACGAAAAAUGAGAAGACAGUGGCGAAUUUCUCAACGAAACAGACGUAGGAAAUGGAAAAUGGUCUCAGCAGUGAAUAGUUUCAUGGCACAUACAACACCACCACCAUCACCAGACAACAUGAGUGUUAAUGCAGAAGACAUCCCUGAAACACCUCAGCUGUGUGAGCCUACACCAGAGAGAACUCCACAGAGGAAAAGAGGGAGAAAAAAGGUGUACAGAGAUCUUAAUGACAUUAAACAAAAGCUUGAGGAUGCCCUCAGAAAAGUUGAAAAAUACAAAAAAAGAAGUAAUCGACUGAAGAAGAACCUGGGGAUCCUAGAGUCACCUAAAAUGAAAACAAAGCAACAGAUGCAGCAAGAAAGCAAGCAAUUAAAGAAGACACUCCUAUUCCAUAACACCAUUAUGUCAGAAAUAAGAAAAAGUAUCAGAAUGUUGACAAUCGUAAAGCUCGGCAACUGAUCUCCAAACUUGUGGCUGGCAAGAUCUUAAAAAAAUACCGCCUGGUCACCAUGGCCAAGAAGGAGUUUGGAUUCUCUACAAAACUAAUCAGGACAAACAUGACAAGGGCCGACAAACUCAAAUACACCCGCAAAACACAACGAAACAGAGUCAGCCAAGAAGUGAAGGAAAAGAUAACAACGUUUUUAGAACGCGACGAUAACAGUAGGGCCACUACUGGAAAGAAAGAGACAAUUACAAAGAUGAAAAAUAAAAUGCAAAAGCGCUUCCUGGUGGAUUCUAUGCAGACACUGCACCUGAAGUUUAGACACGAGAAUCCCGAAGUCAGACUCUCCUAUGCAGAGUUUUGCAAAAAGCGACCCUUUUGGAUUGUUAAACCAACGAUCAAAGACAGAGACACAUGUCUGUGUAAGCUACACUCAAACAUACAGUUCAUGGCAAACAAACUGUUCUUUCACAAAGUCAUUAAAACGUCCAAAGUCACCGAUCUCAUGUAUUCAGUUACAUGCAAAAAUGUGACAAAAGAAUGCAUGUACAGGGAGUGUCUGGAUUGUAAAGACCAUGAACUCCAAACCUCUGCCUUCGAUGCUGGGGAGCAAACCUGGUGGUUUGAAUGGAGAAGCUCUGUGGAGGACAGAGAAAAAAAGAAAAAGACGGCUCCAAAGAAAUGAUUAAAGUUCACCACACAACGAAGGAAAAAGUAUAUGGGACUUUGAAGACACUUUUGGAUGACUUUUCUGACCAACUGAAAAAAAAGA
This is a long non-coding RNA of Coregonus clupeaformis (lake whitefish), 1824 nucleotides long. RefSeq lists it as uncharacterized. The record is from RefSeq and is a predicted model, not a curated record. The transcript is spliced from 2 exons. NCBI's taxonomy places the organism in Eukaryota, Metazoa, Chordata, Actinopteri, Salmoniformes, Salmonidae.